CCUACGGGGGGCAGCAGUGGGGAAUAUUGGACAAUGGGGGCAACCCUGAUCCAGCCAUGCCGCGUGUGUGAAGAAGGCCCUCGGGUUGUAAAGCACUUUCAGUGAGGAAGAACGCCUGGUGGUUAAUACCCAUCAGGAAAGACAUCACUCACAGAAGAAGCACCGGCUAACUCCGUGCCAGCAGCCGCGGUAAUACGGAGGGUGCGAGCGUUAAUCGGAAUUACUGGGCGUAAAGCGCGCGUAGGUGGCUUGAUAAGCCGGUUGUGAAAGCCCCGGGCUCAACCUGGGAACGGCAUCCGGAACUGUCAAGCUAGAGUGCAGGAGAGGAAGGUAGAAUUCCCGGUGUAGCGGUGAAAUGCGUAGAGAUCGGGAGGAAUACCAGUGGCGAAGGCGGCCUUCUGGACUGACACUGCCACUGAGGUGCGAAAGCGUGGGUAGCAAACAGGAUUAGAUACCCCGGUAGUA
This 465-nucleotide ribosomal RNA is filed under the name Vreelandella stevensii. Its description in RNAcentral is "partial 16S ribosomal RNA". It matches the Rfam family "Bacterial small subunit ribosomal RNA", at positions 338 to 795 of the family's 1533-position model. The record is from RNAcentral. Lineage: Bacteria; Pseudomonadati; Pseudomonadota; Gammaproteobacteria; Oceanospirillales; Halomonadaceae.